CGCGGCCUAUCAGCUUGUUGGUGGGGUAAUGGCCUACCAAGGCAUCGACGGGUAGCUGGUCUGAGAGGAUGAUCAGCCACACUGGGACUGAGACACGGCCCAGACUCCUACGGGAGGCAGCAGUGGGGAAUCUUGCGCGAUGGGCGAAAGCCUGACGCAGCAACGCCGCGUGCGGGAAGAAGGCCUUCGGGCCGUAAACCGCUUUCAGCAGGAACGAAAAUGACGGUACCUGCAGAAGAAGGUGCGGCCAACUACGUGCCAGCAGCCGCGGUGACACGUAGGCACCAAGCGUUGUCCGGAUUCAUUGGGCGUAAAGAGCUCGUAGGCGGUUCAGCAAGUCGGGUGUGAAAACUCUGGGCUUAACCCAGAGCCUGCAUCCGAAACUGCUGUGACUUGAGUUCAGUAGGGGAGCGGGGAAUUCCUGGUGUAGCGGUGAAAUGCGCAGAUAUCAGGAGGAACACCGGUGGCGAAGGCGCCGCUCUGGGCCGACACUGACGCUGAGGAGCGAAAGCAUGGGUAGCAAACAGGAUUAGAUACCCUGGUAGUCCAUGCGGUAAACGGUGGGCACUAGGUGUGGGUUUCUAUUAACGAAAUCCGCGCCGUCGCUAACGCAUUAAGUGCCCCGCCUGGGGAGUACGG
This 639-nucleotide ribosomal RNA is filed under the name uncultured Actinomycetes bacterium. Its description in RNAcentral is "bacterial SSU rRNA". It matches the Rfam family "Bacterial small subunit ribosomal RNA", at positions 232 to 885 of the family's 1533-position model. The record is from RNAcentral. Lineage: Bacteria; Bacillati; Actinomycetota; Actinomycetes.